This 1959-nucleotide ribosomal RNA is filed under the name oral metagenome. Its description in RNAcentral is "bacterial LSU rRNA". It matches the Rfam family "Bacterial large subunit ribosomal RNA", at positions 3 to 2016 of the family's 2925-position model. The record is from RNAcentral.
UCAAGUGACUAAGAGCAUGUGGUGGAUGCCUUGGCGAUGAUAGGCGACGAAAGACGUGAUAGCCUGCGAAAAGCUACGGAGAGCUGGCAAAUAAGCAUUGACCCGUGGAUAUCUGAAUGGGGAAACCCACCCGCAAGGGUAUCAAUAACUGAAUACAUAGGUUAUUGAAGCGAACCGAGUGAACUGAACCAUCUAAGUAACUCGAGGAAAAGACAUCAACCGAGAUUACGAAAGUAGUGGCGAGCGAAAUCGUAACAGCCUUGUAGAGAUAGCAAAAUUGACAGCAAAACAAACUGGAAAGUUUGACCAUAGCGGGUGAUAGUCCUGUAUGCGAAAUCAGUUUUGUGGUACUAAGCUACGAACAAGUAGGGCGGGGCACGUGAAACCUUGUCUGAAUAUGGGGGGACCAUCCUCCAAGGCUAAAUACUCAUCAUCGACCGAUAGUGAACCAGUACCGUGAGGGAAAGGCGAAAAGAACCCCGGGAGGGGAGUGAAAUAGACCCUGAAACCGCAUGCUUACAAAAAGUAGGAGCCCUUUAUGGGUGACUGCGUACCUUUUGUAUAAUGGGUCAGCGACUUACAUUUAGUGGCGAGGUUAACCGAAUAGGGAAGCCGAAGAGAAAUCGAGUCCGAAUAGGGCGAUCAGUCGCUAGGUGUAGACCCGAAACCAAGUGAUCUAUCCAUGGCCAGGAUGAAGGCGUCGUAACAGGCGCUGGAGGUCCGAACCGACUAAUGUUGCAAAAUUAGCGGAUGAGUUGUGGAUAGGAGUGAAAGGCUAAACAAACUUGGAGAUAGCUGGUUCUCUCCGAAAACUAUUUAGGUAGUGCCUCAAGUAUUACCGAUGGGGGUAGAGCACUGUUUUGGCUAGGGGGUCAUGGCGACUUACCAAACCAAGGCAAACUCCGAAUACCAUUGAGUACAGCUUGGGAGACAGUGCACCGGGUGCUAACGUCCGGACACAAGAGGGAAACAACCCAGACCGCCAGCUAAGGUCCCUAAAAUUGGCUAAGUGGGAAACGAAGUGGGAAGGCAUAGACAGUCAGGAUGUUGGCUUAGAAGCAGCCACCAUUUAAAGAAAGCGUAAUAGCUCACUGAUCGAGUCGUCCUGCGCGGAAGAUGUAACGGGGCUAAGCCAGUUACCGAAGCUGCGGAUUUGCAAUUUAUUGCAAGUGGUAGGAGAGCGUUCUGUAGGCCUGUGAAGGUGGCUUGUAAAGGCUGCUGGAGGUAUCAGAAGUGCGAAUGCUGACAUGAGUAGCGUUAAAGCGGGUGAAAAGCCCGCUCGCCGUAAGCGCAAGGUUUCCUACGCAACGUUCAUCGGCGUAGGGUGAGUCGGCCCCUAAGGCGAGGCAGAGAUGCGUAGCUGAUGGGAAGCAGGUUAAUAUUCCUGCACCGAUACAAGUGCGAUGUGGGGACGGAUUUUAAUAGGUGAUCCGGGUGUUGGAUAUCCCGGUUUAGGCAGAUGUAGGCGUGUGUUAGGCAAAUCCGGCACACAUAUACCGAGGCUGUCGAUCCAGCGAGCUUGCUCGUGAAGUCACUGAACGGGGUCCCAGGAAAAGCCACUAAGCUUCAGCUUGUAUACGACCGUACCGCAAACCGACACUGGUGCGCGAGAUGAGUAUUCUAAGGCGCUUGAGAGAACUCUGGAGAAGGAACUCGGCAAAUUGACACCGUAACUUCGGGAAAAGGUGUGCCCCGGUAGCGUGAUGAGAGCAUCUGAGCGUGAAAGGGUUGCAAAAAAUAGGUGGCUGCGACUGUUUAUUAAAAACAUAGCACUCUGCAAACACGAAAGUGGACGUAUAGGGUGUGACGCCUGCCCGGUGCUGGAAGAUUAAUUGAUGGGGUGCAAGCUCUUGAUCGAAGUCCCAGUAAACGGCGGCCGUAACUAUAACGGUCCUAAGGUAGCGAAAUUCCUUGUCGGGUAAGUUCCGACCUGCACGAAUGGCGUAACGAUGGCCACAC